GCACCUGUGGUUUGUCAGGUGUCUGUUGUCACAUGAUUGUUUGUUUGCUUCACAAGUAGGGCUGGCACUGCUGUGACCCAGAGUUUGAGGACUGCCUGUCCAUGCUGUUCUCCUGUAGAAAAAGUUUGCACAUAGCGCUCGGUGAUGGGUGGGGGAGUCUGUCCCAAGUCUGUCUGCUUGGAUGGGGGCUGGAGGGCAGUGAGGCGGCUGUCUGGAAGUUCCCGUGGAACAGACAAUGGGUCUCAGGCUGGUGGGUUCCUGCGUGUCUGUGUCUGCAUUGCCCAUUUGUACCUCUGUGUUUCAGCGAUCAUGCAGGCGCUCAACGAAGAGUUCCAGGAUCUUUGAAGUUGGACCCAGAAUCUCCCCACAGAAGAGGCCAAACUACAACCCAUGGAUCCCGCUUCCUUCCAGUUCUUCUACAGCAGUGGUUCCAGCUUCCUAAUGCUAUGGCCUCUUAAUACAGUUCCUUGUGUUAUGUUA
Apodemus sylvaticus (European woodmouse) is the source of this 480-nucleotide long non-coding RNA. RefSeq lists it as uncharacterized. Lineage: Eukaryota; Metazoa; Chordata; Mammalia; Rodentia; Muridae. The transcript is spliced from 2 exons. The record is from RefSeq and is a predicted model, not a curated record.